AAUGGGAGAAUUUAUAGAUAGAAUAGGUAUGGUCCUUUCAGGAACAGUGGGAGAUAUAGGUUCUGAGAAAGUAGGAACAGGGAGAAUUUCUGUGAUUCCAAUGGGUUCCCCUAGGAAAUUAGACUCAACGGAGGUGGACGAGAAAAAAGGUGUUGUUUCAAAAAAGGUAACAUCGGAAGAGGUAUAAAACCGGUGUGUUCUAGGACAGUAACACUUAAAGCCUUUUUGGAGGCGAGAAUACCCAAGGAAAACACAUUUUAUUGCCUUGGCAUCAAGUUUAUCACGCCCUGGAGAAGUAUUAUGAACAAAGCAAGUACAUCCAAAGAUUCGCAAUGGAAGCUUAUGGAGAGGUUCCUGUGGACGUAAGAUAUGAAGAGGAAUUUUUCCUUGCAAAACAGAGGAAGGCAUCCGAUUUAUGAGAUAGCAAGAGUGAAGUAUAGCAUGCCCCCAAAAAUUCUUAGGUACCUUGUUAUGAAUAAGCAAAGUACGAGCUGUUUCAACAAGAUGACGAAUUUUUCGUUCAGCA
This is a long non-coding RNA of Ipomoea nil (Japanese morning glory), 526 nucleotides long. RefSeq lists it as uncharacterized. The transcript has 4 exons. The record is from RefSeq and is a predicted model, not a curated record. Lineage: Eukaryota; Viridiplantae; Streptophyta; Magnoliopsida; Solanales; Convolvulaceae.